UUGAAGGAAGGAGCAAUCUGACCUGAUGGUGGCGGCAAAGGGUGCGUAACGCGUAAGUAACUUGCCCCAAGGUAAGGAACAACGUCGAGAAAUCGGCGCUAAUACCUCAUAAUGCAGCGGAUCCGCAUGGAUAUGUUGUUAAAGGUUUACCGCCUUGGGAUAGGCUUGCGUCUGAUUAGCUAGUUGGUGUGGUAAUGGCACACCAAGGCUACGAUCAGUAACUGGUCUGAGAGGAUGAUCAGUCACACUGGAACUGAGACACGGUCCAGACUCCUACGGGAGGCAGCAGUGAGGAAUAUUGGGCAAUGCACGAAAGUGUGACCCAGCAACGCCGCGUGGAGGAUGAAGGUAUUCUAUAUCGUAAACUCCUGUGAGAGCAGACGAAAGACAGAUUAUUAAUUUGGAUGACUGUAUGCUCAGAGGAAGCCCCGGCUAACUACGUG
RNAcentral lists this ribosomal RNA (443 nucleotides) under uncultured bacterium. RNAcentral describes it as "bacterial SSU rRNA". It matches the Rfam family "Bacterial small subunit ribosomal RNA", at positions 69 to 507 of the family's 1533-position model. The record is from RNAcentral.